AGAGUUUGAUCCUGGCUCAGGACGAACGCUGGCGGCGUGCUUAACACAUGCAAGUCGAACGGUGAAGUCCCUUCGGGGGCGGAUCAGUGGCGAACGGGUGAGUAACACGUGGGCAAUCUGCCCCUCACUGUGGGAUAACUCCGGGAAACCGGGGCUAAUACCGCAUAUGAAGCCUGGCGGCAUCGCCGGGUUUGGAAAGUUUUUCGGUGAGGGAUGAGCCCGCGGCCUAUCAGCUUGUUGGUGAGGUAAUGGCUCACCAAGGCGACGACGGGUAGCCGGCCUGAGAGGGCGACCGGCCACACUGGGACUGAGACACGGCCCAGACUCCUACGGGAGGCAGCAGUGGGGAAUAUUGGGCAAUGGGCGAAAGCCUGACCCUGCGACGCCGCGUGCGG
This 395-nucleotide ribosomal RNA is filed under the name uncultured bacterium. RNAcentral's name for it is "bacterial SSU rRNA". It matches the Rfam family "Bacterial small subunit ribosomal RNA", at positions 8 to 406 of the family's 1533-position model. The record is from RNAcentral.